ACAGCUAAUUGCAUAGUAUUGUGCAAUAUUGACUUAGUCAAAUAAAGUUCUGAAUAAAUCUAGAUAAUGACUUAAUUUAUUCACAUGUCUUGACCAAAAUGCGUGCCAGCAGUCGCGGUAAGACGUAUAAGACUAGUGUUGUUCAUCUUUAGUAGGUUUAAAGCGUAAUUAGACGGCAAAUCAAGCUGUAAUAAGAACUAAUUUGCUAGAGUUACUUGUGAUGGGGCUUAUAAGUACUAAUGGAGUAGAGAUAAAAUGUUAAUAUACCUUUUUUCAAUAGAAUUAUUAUGGCACUGGUAAAAGCGAAAGCAUCCCCUUAUGUGAUAACUGACGUUAAAGUACGAAGGCUUUGAGUCGCGAAUAGGAUUAGAUACCCUAGUAGUCUAAGCAGAAAAUUAUGAGUGUCAUAGACUAGUUAAUAAUUAUUAAUUAGUAAUUAAGUAAUUAGUAAUUAAGUAAUUAGUAAUUUAUAUAUAAAAUGUAUAGGUAACUCCUAUUUGUGUUUAUAUACUAUUAUAUAUUACUUAUUAGUCUAUAAAUGAAAGUGUAAGCACUCCACCUUAAGAGUAAAGUGGCAACACCGAAAUUGAAAUCAUUAGACCGUUUCUGAGNNNNNNNNNNNNNNNNNNNNNNNNNNNNNNNNNNNNNNNNNNAACCUUACCACAACUUGAAUAUUUAUAUUUUAAUAUAUUUACAAGCGUUGCACGGCUGUCUUAAGAAAUGUUCUGAGAAUUUGGUUAGGUCCAUUAAAUUAACGUAAACCCUCGUUUUACUUUAAUGUGAAAUGGUUCACCGUUAUAUUGGUUAAGAUAAAAGGGAAGAAGACAAGUCAUCAUGGCCUGAAUGUUGU
Molecule: ribosomal RNA, 850 nt
Filed under: Eschatogonia sp. SK-2020d
Lineage: Eukaryota; Fungi; Ascomycota; Lecanoromycetes
Description: partial small subunit ribosomal RNA
Rfam family: Bacterial small subunit ribosomal RNA
Source: RNAcentral